AGGCGCGAAAACUUUACAAUGCUGGCAACAGCGAUAAGGGGACCUCGAGUGCCAGGUUACAAAUCUGGCUGUCGAGAUGCCUAAAAAGCAUUUCAUAGCAAGGGCCGGGCAAGACCGGUGCCAGCCGCCGCGGUAACACCGGCGGCUCGAGUGGUAACCGCUAUUAUUUGGUCUAAAGGGUCUGUAGCCGGCCGAAUAAGUCUCUUGGGAAAUCUGGCUGCUCAACAGUCAGGCUAUCAGGAGAUACUGUUCGGCUCGAGGCCGGGAGAGGUGAGAGGUACUUCAGGGGUAGGGGUGAAAUCUUGUAAUCCUUGAAGGACCACCAGUGGCGAAGGCGUCUCACCAGAACGGGCCUGACGGCAAGGGACGAAAGCUAGGGGCACGAACCGGAUUAGAUACCCGGGUAGUCCUAGCCGUAAACGAUACUCGCUAGGUGUCGGCCACGGUGCGACCGUAGUCGGUGCCGUAGGGAAGCCGUGAAGCGAGCCACCUGGGAAGUGCGGCCGCAAGGCUGAAACUUAAAGGAAUUGGCGGGGGAGCACUACAACGGGUGGAGCCUGCGGUUUAAUUGGAUUCAACGCCGGGAAGCUUACCGGGAUCGACAGCAAUAUGAAGGCCAGGCUGAAGACCUUGCCGGAUUCGCUGAGAGGUGGUGCAUGGCCGUCGUCAGUUCGUACUGUGAAGCAUA
Molecule: ribosomal RNA, 688 nt
Filed under: uncultured archaeon
Lineage: Archaea
Description: bacterial SSU rRNA
Rfam family: Archaeal small subunit ribosomal RNA
Source: RNAcentral